UCCCUGGAGACCUAGUGGUUAGGCCUUGGCGUUCUCACCGCCAUGGCCUGGGUUCGUUUCCCAGCCAGGGAA
Non-coding RNA from Pangasianodon gigas (Mekong giant catfish), 72 nucleotides. Lineage: Eukaryota; Metazoa; Chordata; Actinopteri; Siluriformes; Pangasiidae. The record is from the annotation of a GenBank genome assembly.